RNAcentral lists this small RNA (1472 nucleotides) under Drosophila yakuba. RNAcentral describes it as "GE29151". The record is from RNAcentral. Lineage: Eukaryota; Metazoa; Arthropoda; Insecta; Diptera; Drosophilidae.
UUACUUCCAAAUUUUCCUAAGCUUCGAAAUAAACACUUCCACUGUUGCGAAAAUUUAUGGAUAUAAUAUAGAUAAAAAGCUGAGCCACACUAUCUACCUAUCUCAUAAACGAAUGCCAUGAAAUCUUUUUGUGGUCUAAAUUUGUUUUGUAGUCACAGAAAAUAGAGUUUUUAUCGUCAUAGUUAGAGACAUUUCAAUUCCCUUAGCACAAAAUUGACUUGACGAUGUUCGACUUAAUGAAGCUUGACUGUACAAAGAUGGCAAUACGUGUAUUGACGCGACUGCAGGCGAAGAUUUCAAGGUAUUUUUGCAUGCCAGACCCAUGGAAAAUCGGAUGCGUAUCGAUUUAGUAAUUUCCGCGCGACUUUUCCGCUCAGCGGGCGGCGCCUCGAAAAUGGCAACAUUUUCUUGGAUGUUGCUGUUUGCUGGGCCGUCAAGACAACUUGGACUUGGCCAGUAGCACAGACAGUCUAGAUGGAUGGGAAAACUUGUUUAUAUGGCUCACCGAAAUUACGGCCAUUGCUUGUGCUCCGAAAUUCAGCAGCGUGCUUGCGGGGAGGUAACCAGUUUGGUGGUGACCCCGAACCACUUUCGCAUUCUCUUUGGCGAUUUACGAUGCAGCUAGCUAGUGCCUCUCGUACUUGCGUUAAGUGCAGGCAUAUAUAUCUCUAAAUAUCACAGUAUAUCAUUUCAACUGAUAUCAGGACAUCAUAAAGCAUAAAGCCUAGAGAUACGCAUUGAUUGAUUUACAUGGGAAGGGACUGAAAUCAGUGGAAUAUCAUUGGCUGGGAUCGAGUUGAGAAGUAGCUUUAAUCAGCAUUAUCGGAUAACCAGUUAAAAACAGUUACUGUGAUUUAGUUUAUAGUUGAAGUCGACUGCGACUUCAUGAGUUUUCCUUUAGCAUUAACAGUACUCGUAUAAAGUGAGUGCGAGUGUGAUUUAAUGGGUGAAAGUGAGUGUGUGAAUGGGAUGUAAUCAAUUGUACGAGUAUAAUCUAAGGCAUAAUUUAUUCAGGCCAUCAGCAGCUUAGCUAACCCUUAAGUAGGACUACAUUUCGUGUUGUACCAAGCAAUCUACUUUCCUAACUCCAUCCAUAGCCGGCGGCGGUGUGAAAUCAUAAACGCAAUCAAGCAAUGCUACGCCUACGACAUAGAGAUUAAGUCAGACGAAACUCUCAUCAGCAACAGCAUGCCAUCCUUUUCCCUGCAUCCCUCAGUAUAUCUGAAUAUCUGAUUUCCGGAACAUCAGCUCACAAGUCAGGCCUAUCAAGUCAAACAGAUGCUUCGGGUGAGGAGAUGGCAUCCGUCCCGUCGAAGGACGGACAAACUCGGCGGAUGGAGUUCAUCGUCGCACGCCCACACAUAAUCCGCAUAAUCUGCAUGCAAAUAUAUGUAAAUUUAUUAAUAGUUGUGUGUGUACGAACAGCAAGUUUUUGGAAACGAACAAAUAAAUAGACAAUUCGAAAAGACAAA